Non-coding RNA from Salvia hispanica, 311 nucleotides. The record is from RefSeq and is a predicted model, not a curated record. Lineage: Eukaryota; Viridiplantae; Streptophyta; Magnoliopsida; Lamiales; Lamiaceae.
CUAAGGAUAAACUGCUCAAGGGCAAGUGAGGCCAACGCAAAUAAUUGAAUUAAGGAAUAAACAUACCAGGUUGAACGUCAAGAGGAUGGAGUGAUGAUCGGAGUCGAUGUUAUCAAGUUGAUCUCCCAACGAUUCGUGUCUUUAUACACGAAGUCGUUUAGCAAGGACUUAUUCCGCUGUGCUCUUAGAAUUAUAGAACCUCACCAUCAACUCUGAUUUAUUUGAGGAGAUGUCUAUUCUGUUUUCAAGACCGUGUAAUGAAAUACUUGGCUUCUAUGUUAUCAAUUGACUUGGCCUUGUGAAAUUCUCAA